AACGAACGCUGGCGGCAUGCCUAACACAUGCAAGUCGAACGAGACCUUCGGGUCUAGUGGCGCACGGGUGCGUAACGCGUGGGAACCUGCCCUUAGGUUCGGAAUAACUCCCCGAAAGGGGUGCUAAUACCGGAUAAUGUCUUCGGACCAAAGAUUUAUCGCCUUUGGAUGGGCCCGCGUUGGUUUAGCGAGUUGGUAGGGUAAAAGCCUACCAAGGCGACGAUCCAUAGCUGGUCUGAGAGGAUGAUCAGCCACACUGGGACUGAGACACGGACCAGACUCCUACGGGAGGGAGCAGUGGGGAAUAUUGGACAAUGGGCGAAAGCCUGAUACAGCCAUGCGGCGUGAGUGAUGAAGGCCUUAGGGUUGUAAAGCUCUUUUAGCCGAGAUGAUAAUGACAGUACCGGGAGAAUAAGCUCCGGCUAACUACGUG
This 433-nucleotide ribosomal RNA is filed under the name uncultured bacterium. RNAcentral describes it as "partial 16S ribosomal RNA". It matches the Rfam family "Bacterial small subunit ribosomal RNA", at positions 29 to 507 of the family's 1533-position model. The record is from RNAcentral.